Molecule: long non-coding RNA, 1196 nt
Filed under: Gossypium barbadense (sea-island cotton)
Lineage: Eukaryota; Viridiplantae; Streptophyta; Magnoliopsida; Malvales; Malvaceae
Description: long non-coding RNA (GBAR_LNC007630)
Source: RNAcentral
AGACUUUGAAAUUUAACUAAAAAAAUCCCCCAAAGUUAAAAGAAAUUUAGAGACAACCUUUCAUAUUUUGUAAUCUGUUUUGCAUCUAACAAUAGAUCUAUUUCUGCAGAUAAACAAGUUAAAAGAGAUUUCGGUUAUGAGCUACGGAAAUCCUAAAUACAAACAAGUUCACAUGAAAAUUUAGAUAAAGCAACAAACCUUAACAGGAGCAUCAGCAAUACGGUAAGCAUCAGCCGUCGUACCAACCAACCAUAACCCAGGGAAAACAUUCUAAAAAGUCCAAAAAGAAAAAAAGAAAAGAAGAUAGAUUAAAUGAUUAUCAGAAAAUUAAUGAAAAACGAAAACCCAGAAAUAUUAAUCCUUACAUCAAGCUGUUUCUGAAUAUUCUUUGGCCUUUUCUUGGGCCUUCUUGCAGGUCUUGAUCCUGUUAUAAAAAGAUGUCUUCCUCAAUCUCUUCCUUUGAUAAAGCUAUCCAGAACUUCCUUUUUUCUUUCUUUUCCGCAACUCCCCCAUUUUCAGCGAAACCCCUUAAUCUCAUCGACUUCGGCCCCACCGUUUCACUCGUCUUUUCCGCCGCCGAUGUCACUACCGCCGCCGACGUCUCCAUCACCACUUUUCUAGGUCUCAAAUUCCAUGGUCUCUGCACAGUCUCCUCCUCAUCUUCUUCAGCUUCAUUUUCUCGCGGCUUUGACGACUCUUCUUCCCGUUGCUGUCGUUGUUCUUCUUCGCGGUGGCUUUGCUUUUUGAUGGCUUUCGGGUGGUGGAGGAAAGGAUGAGCGGUGAAUGCGGGUGGAGCGUGACCCAACACGCGUCGGACGAAGACGGUCGUGGUCCGAGUCGGAUUCAGGAGAACGGCUGUGAUCGGCGGUGGCAGCGGAUGAACUACCACCUCCAUGGGUCCCCCAUUUAAGAAACGGAAAGUUGAAGUUGUGUAAAGGCUGAGACUUUAUCGGUGCAGUAGCCAUAAAAAAAUAACAAAACAAGAGCGAACAAAGAAACAACUGCACAUAAACGACCAACACUUCUUAAAAGAUGAGAAAUUGAGAAAGAAAACAAAGCGCGGUGGAGGAAGUGGCGGAGCAAGGAAGAGCAACCCUGAAAGAUGAGAAGGAAGAAGAAAGAAAUAUCAAAUAUGUUCGUUGAAGAAAUAAACUUUAUUUUUUUUCGUAGGUCACUUAUACAAAAGCGAGAUCACC